This 431-nucleotide ribosomal RNA is filed under the name uncultured bacterium. Its description in RNAcentral is "bacterial SSU rRNA". It matches the Rfam family "Archaeal small subunit ribosomal RNA", at positions 455 to 886 of the family's 1478-position model. The record is from RNAcentral.
GUGCCAGCCGCCGCGGUAAUACCGGUGGCUCGAGUGGUGGCCGCUAUUAUUGGGUCUAAAGGGUCCGUAGCGGCCUGAUAAGUACCUGGGAAAUCCGGUGGCCUAACCAUCGGGCGGCCAGGUAAUACUAUCAGGCUCGGGACUAGGAGAGACCAGAGGUACUCAUGAGGUAGGAGUGAAAUCCUGUAAUCUUAUGAGGACCACCAGUGGUGAAGACGUCUGGUUAGAAUAGGUCCGACGGUGAGGGACGAAGGCUGGGGGCGCAAACCGGAUUAGAUACCCGGGUAGUCCCAGCAGUAAACGAUGCCAGCUAUGUGUUGCUGGAACCAUGGGUUCCAGCAGUGCCGAAGGGAAGCCGUGAAGCUGGCCACCUGGGAAGUACGGUCGCAAGGCUGAAACUUAAAGGAAUUGGCGUGGGGAGUACCACAACC